CAGGAGUGUGUAACAACUCACCUGCCGAAUGAAUUAGCCCUGAAAAUGGAUGGCGCUAAAGCGGGUAGCCGACACCAUGCCGUCUGUUUAAUAGAUAACAGAUGAGUAGGAGGGCGUGGAGGCCGUAUCGAAGCAUGCGUGCAAACGCGUGUGGAACGGCCUCUAGUGCAGAUCUUGGUGGUAGUAGCAAAUAUUCAAGCGAGAUCCUUGAAGGGCGAAGCGGGGAAGGGUUCCACGCGAACAUUGAUUGGGCGUGGGUGAGUCGUUCCUAAGCCGAGUGGCCAUUGCUAGAUAACGGCGAAAGGGAAGCGGGUUGAAAUUCCCGCACACGGAUGUGGAGGCGGUGACGCUUUAUUGGGGCGAACACGCCGGCGGUGGCGCUGGGCAGAGAUGUCUUUUCUGUUUAACCAUAUAGCGCGCUGUGUGGAAUCCGCUUGUCGGGAGAAACACGCGUGCAAGGGAAGAGCGCCGGGGCUUUUCCGGCGUCCAGCUCGCCACCGACGGCCCUUGAAACUUUGCCUGCUGAUUUAAGAUCCACGCCGUGGCGUACCGAUAACCGCAUCAGGUCCCCAAGGUGAACAGCCUCUGUCCAAUAUGAAUAAUGCAGGUAAGGA
RNAcentral lists this ribosomal RNA (614 nucleotides) under Hymenocladiopsis prolifera. RNAcentral describes it as "LSU rRNA". It matches the Rfam family "Eukaryotic large subunit ribosomal RNA", at positions 1273 to 1910 of the family's 3401-position model. The record is from RNAcentral. Lineage: Eukaryota; Rhodophyta; Florideophyceae; Rhodymeniales; Fryeellaceae.